Molecule: ribosomal RNA, 112 nt
Filed under: Nannospalax galili (Upper Galilee mountains blind mole rat)
Lineage: Eukaryota; Metazoa; Chordata; Mammalia; Rodentia; Spalacidae
Source: RNAcentral
GUCUAUGGCCAUACCACCCUGAAAGCACCGGAUCUCAUCUGAUCUCAGAAGCUAAGCAGGGUCAGUCUUGGUUAGUUACUUGGAUGGGAGAAAGUGAUAGAAGAUACAUACC